This 499-nucleotide ribosomal RNA is filed under the name uncultured bacterium. RNAcentral describes it as "bacterial SSU rRNA". It matches the Rfam family "Bacterial small subunit ribosomal RNA", at positions 36 to 518 of the family's 1533-position model. The record is from RNAcentral.
CUGGCGGCGUAGCUUAACACAUGCAAAGUCGAACGGAGUUAAGCGCUGAAUUGAUGCUAGCUUGCUAGUGGAUUUCUUGCUUAACUUAGUGGCGGACGGGUGAGUAACGCGUGAGUAACCUGCCUCUCAGUGGGGAAUAACGCCCUGAAAAGAGCGCUAAUACCGCAUAACAUAUUUUUUGCCGCAUGACAGGAAUAUCAAAGAUUUAUCGCUGAGAGAUGGACUCGCGUCCGAUUAGCUUGUUGGCGGGGUAACGGCCCACCAAGGCGACGAUCGGUAGCCGGACUGAGAGGUUGAACGGCCACAUUGGGACUGAGACACGGCCCAGACUCCUACGGGAGGCAGCAGUGGGGGAUAUUGCGCAAUGGGGGGAAAAACCCCUGACGCAGCAACGCCGCGUGGAGGAUGACGGUUUUCGGAUUGUAAACUCCUUUUAUAAGGGACGAACUAAGACGGUACCUUAUGAAUAAGCUCCGGCUAACUACGUGCCAGCAGCAGC